Molecule: long non-coding RNA, 660 nt
Organism: Haliotis rubra (blacklip abalone)
Lineage: Eukaryota; Metazoa; Mollusca; Gastropoda; Lepetellida; Haliotidae
Exons: 2
Source: RefSeq, a predicted model, not a curated record
AGUGAUAUUGUUGAUGUUCCAGAGCUGUCGAACGAUACCAGACAGCACACGUAUUAUCAACUACCCUACCCUCGUAGUAGGAUCAAUGUGAAAAGACAGCAAAUGAAAACUGGUAUUUUCAACGUUUUAUGGUUUCAUGUUGGCACAUUUCUACAACCCAAGUGCCAUCACUAUUUUAUUUUCCUGAAUCAAUUUUAGUUUUUUCUUUGCCUGUGACAGUACAGCAACCGAUAUCUUUCUAUGAUUCUACAUGCUCUAACCCGUCUAUUUAUUGUUUCAGGGGAAUUCGAGGAAUUUUCAUGGAGAGGUGAUUGACUGUGGACAGCAUGUUGGACACUCGGAUGUGUCGAACUUCAUCAGGACGCAUGACAUCCAAGGGGAGGAUAGACGGAUACUUCAGGGCUGCUACGAUCUUUUUGAAUCGAAGCCAGAUUUCGUUUGGCAAAAUUGCUCCAUCGAAGUCAUGUGCUCGUCAGUUGAUGUAAAGUUCGUGUCUGGAGAUGAAAGCAAUCGAUACAUCUUACGUUUUAGAGAAGGUGGCAUUUGGAUGGCGGUUCUGAGAGAAGAAAUACGCACAAACAUCUUCAAUGUGUAUGAGUGGUCACGUAGACUCGUGCAGGGAGUUGGAGAAGCAGUUGCUGGAGCUAUCCAGCAAAAUCC